UACAGGGGGUGCAAACGUUGCUCGGAAUCAUUGGGCGUAAAGCGCACGUAGGCGGUUCGUUAUGUCGGAUGUGAAAGCCCUUGGCUUAACCGAGGAAGUGCAUCCGAAACUGGCGAGCUAGAGUACGAAAGAGGAUCGCGGAAUUCCUGGUGUAGCGGUGAAAUGCGCAGAUAUCAGGAAGAACACCUAUGGCGAAGGCAGCUCUCUGGGACGGUACUGACGCUGAGACGCGAAAGCGUGGGGAGCGAACAGG
RNAcentral lists this ribosomal RNA (253 nucleotides) under uncultured bacterium. RNAcentral describes it as "partial 16S ribosomal RNA". It matches the Rfam family "Bacterial small subunit ribosomal RNA", at positions 524 to 776 of the family's 1533-position model. The record is from RNAcentral.